Long non-coding RNA from Trichomycterus rosablanca, 382 nucleotides. RefSeq lists it as uncharacterized. NCBI's taxonomy places the organism in Eukaryota, Metazoa, Chordata, Actinopteri, Siluriformes, Trichomycteridae. The record is from RefSeq and is a predicted model, not a curated record. The transcript is spliced from 3 exons.
ACCAGUUGAAUAUAGUUCACGCGUCUCUCCUUGAGUUGCUGUAAAGCAUGUCUGGCUUCUGCCUGUAGAGGAAAGGCUAGACCCUGUAAAGUCUGUGGCUUCGUUUCUACACCCACCUCCGUUAUCACCUGCAGGGGGAGACAAACACACACAGGACUUAAUUCAAUGUGGUAGCAUGAACCACAACAAUGGCAUGGACAAGAACUAGAACAAGGACAGGAACAAAGACAAUGACAAGGGCAAGAACAGGAGCAGUGACAUGAUCAAGGACAAGAGUACAGACAGACAUGACCAACAAGGAGGGGUGCAAACAAGGGGAACAGCUGGAGUUCCUGCUCAGCAUGUGUGAGAGGAGCAGGGGUGGAGUUUGAUGAAUCAUGUC